This is a non-coding RNA of Taeniopygia guttata (zebra finch), 10291 nucleotides long. The record is from RefSeq and is a predicted model, not a curated record. NCBI's taxonomy places the organism in Eukaryota, Metazoa, Chordata, Aves, Passeriformes, Estrildidae.
UUUUUUUUUUUUUUUUUUUUUUUUUUUUUUUUUUACUAAGAAAACCCCUUCAUAUUCCACUGAUAAUCCUGCUUCACCUAAUUCAAGGAUGGACAACUUGUGGCUUUGGACCCAGAGGCAGAUACUGAGUGUAACUCCCACAAUGGAAUCACAGAAUCAUUUAGCUUGGAAAAGACUUUUAAGAUUGUUGAGGCCAACCUUUGUCCGAUCAGCACCUUGUCAACUAAACCAUGGCACUGAGUGUCACAUCCAGUCACUUCUUGAACACCUCCAGGGAUGGCAACUACACCACCUCUCUGGACAGCCCAUUCCAAUGCAUGAUAUCCCUUUCUGUGAAGAAAUUCCUCCUUGUGUUAAACCUUAACCUCCCCUGGUGCAGCUUGGGGUUAUGGAGAUAUGCUGUGUUACUGCCAGCACACUGCUGAUGUUGUGAGUGCUUUUUUAUCCAUAUCUCCAUGUGGGAGGAAGCCCCCAGGGGCUUCUGAGGCCACCAGCUUCCUACAAGCUCUGGGACUCAGCUGGACACUUGGCCUCAUCCCAUCCCACACUGGAUGCUGGUACCCUGGGGAGCCAUUGCUUGGGAGUAGCUUUUUCAAAGACUAAGGGUACUGGUCAGGGGCUUGACACCUCUUGGACAUUUAAAGUUGUUUUCGGUUUUUUGGGGUUUGUUGUAAGAUGCUGAUGAAGCCAAAAGGUUUGAGCUCCCAUGAUGUAGUUCAUUACAUUUUAGAAAGUGAAAUCUGGGUAAAAGGUGAAUCAUACCACAUUAUUGGGAGUGGAAAUAGAUUUAGACUUCAGCUGCAACAUGAGCUAAUAUAUGUGUGAAAAAGACCAUGGAGAAACUAUGUUAGAAGAAAGGUGUUAAAGAUGCUAAGGCAAAUAUAAAAAAACCAAGCCAACACUGGGAAUGUAGUUGUCUGUGCAACCUCAGUAUGGUCUUCUCUUGUGAAUGCAUUUCAGUACAUUUCUAAUGACAGGAACACAUUUUUCUCUUCAGGGAUUCUGACCACAUUCAGGUCACAGAAUGGACAGUGCUCACUUAAUGAGCAGUUAUUCAAUAUUUUGAAUUCUCAAAUAAGUCAGUGUGUGACCUCCACAACUUUGCUUAAUAGUAUUCAAACCUUGUUCUGAAAUCAGAAGUACAAAUUUACUCUUGAGCUGUCUUGUGAUUCUGAGCACAUCCCUGAUAUCACUUAGUAAAUCUUUGCAACAGCCAUGUGAGAUAACAGAAUAUUUUUACUCCAUUUUUGCAGGUGGACAGCUGAGGCACGAAGAGUUUGGUCAGCAGGAUGCCCUAGUUUUUAUGUCCUGAAUUUUAGAAACAGAGGGCCUGACCUUUAUUCAUAGUUUUCGUUUUCAGUUUCACAUAUCUGAAAACAUCUCCCAUUACUGUCAGCUGCAGCUCUGAGUGCUCGGCACUGCUCCAAAUGAGACUCAAGGUGUCUGAAGUCAGCUACUCAGAGAUGCAGAACUUGUCACUUGGAAUGACCCCAUGAAAAACACGGGCCAGGAUAACAGAGGAAUCAGCAGCAAAGAGGGACUGGUUAAUAUGAAAAGUGUAGUACAAGAACUGACAUGACCUGGCCACGUAAUGUAGACAUAUGCAUACCAUAAUUGGGUUGUUUGAGCAGACCUAUGAGUUUUUUGACUCCAAGGAUGUGUCUUAUGAACUAUUUGAUAUUUUUAUUGUUAAUGGGUCAAUAAAUUGUUCUGGCAAGAACCAGCCUUGUCCUGUGACUUGCUGAAGAAGUAGAAUCAUGACUUUCUACCAAAAAAUAACACUAUAUUUAGGUGGUGCUAGGAGAAAUAAGCUGGCUGCUGUAGUAUCUGAAUUGUUUUUCCUCUGUAAAUCAGUGUGCUCCCUAUGCCCUUUCAACACACUCUCAUUGUCUUGUCUCCCAUUGCUUGUUUAAUUGCUUCCUUUCCGACACCACAAGGGAGAUCCAUCCCAAGGAUGUGGAAAUAAUAAUGGUUUUCAGUGUUAUAAAUCCUCCUACAUUUGGUUCUUCUUAAAGUGAGUACCUCUUCCUUCAUCUGGAAGGAAGGAUGAUAGGAACCCUGAUGGAAACUCUUGGACAACCACUCAUGAGGGUUUGACAUUCUUCUAUUUCCUCUUACUUUUCUUGCCUGUUCCAGCUGCUUGACAUCCUCAGAAAACUUCUAAAUGUGCUGAAUAGUAUUUGAGGGGAACUGACAAGAAAUGGAGCAGUCAGACUCAGUCCAGUGGUAGCAAUCCAUGUGUGGAUUGCUAAUUAUCUAUAAGACUUGGCCAUUCAUAAGUUCCUUUAAGCUUUUUCUCCCCUUUCUUUAUCCCCAAGUGUUUAGCUAUUUUCAGCUCCACCUAUUUUAAAGGCUGCAGCUUUUCCUCCUGCCUUUGGGAGUCUGAUCCACACAUUGAUUUAUUUUGAGCUAUAUUGCUAAUUACUAUUUUUGUAAGUAUAGUGUUUCAUUAUUCAUUAAAGCUGGGGAGACAUUUUAGUAAUUUCUAAGUAGAACAAAUGUAAAUUCAGUAAUCAAGUAAGAUCUCUGGUUAGGGUUUAAGAGGGCUAGGAGGAGUGAUCUGACAAAGGAGCUGGUAUGACAACUGAGAGCUGUUGAUAUAUGAAGGAGUGUUACUAAAAAAGCAGAAACUAAUGUUGGCAUGGACAAGAUGCAGGGACUGGCUGAAAUGUGGGGAGGAAUCUUUUAGUUCACCGAAGGAAUAAACUGCCACAGGAGCCCAGAGAGUCAUUUUUUGGGGCAAAUGUCCCGAGACUGGUAAAAAACACUCCUGCAGGGUGUAUGAACAAAGUCAGCCAUGCUGCACUGUACAGGGAGGGUCUAGAGGACCCUGGAGAUUUUCAAUUAUUUUCUCUUUAGUGUGUGACAAAGCCACUCAGCAGGAACUGGCUCUUACUAAGAGAAGAGGAAACACUGUCCAUUUUCUGGUGUUAGUGCAAGCUUCCCAGUGCUUUCUGUCUGGCUUUGCAUGAGUUCUGAGGUAAGAAAGUUCCUAUUCCGGAAAGUCAGGAUGAAAACCCUAAUUCCGUAUCACAACUGCAUCAGAGUAGAAAGACACGGAAGUAGCUUUGUGCACUCUGCCUGCCCAGCCAUCGUAGGAGUCCUUACCAAGGUCCCUUUUUCCUCAGCUUCUCUGCCAGGGGCCCUCUGAGUAAAGCCCCCCACAGGUUGGGCUCCAGGGGUUUCUGGAUGUAGAGUACAGUUCUGCUACAGAUGCGCCAGUUGCAGAGUCAUCUAAACUGUGCCCGGGCAAAAGACAUUGUGAUAUGCAGUGCUUUGAGGCUACUGACAUACUUCCUGACUGAAAAUGGAAAAAAACUAGAAGACCUUAUGACAAAGAUGCUAAAUAUUUAUUGAAGCCCUUUUUUAAGAACAGCUUUAAAAUGGGAAGCAGGGUGGUGAAAAAAAUGAAAUAAAUAAAGGUGGUAAUCUUCCUGCAACAGGAAGAUUAGAAGAUCUGGAUGACUAUUUAAAUGUGCCUGUGAUAUACCAGUCCUUACAAGUGGUGGAUCCAAAGACUUUUUCCAAGGGCUUUUUUCCUAGCACAUCUAUUCAACAUGUUCCAUUUGGCCAGGGGUCUUUAUAGCAUGAAAAUAGCAGGGUCCACAAAGGGGUUUUUGCAGCAGGCACUGCAGGCUUGCCUCCCCCUCCUCCCUUUUCAAUAGGGUUGAAUACAGUAAAGGAGCAAAGGAGAAAACAGAAUGGCUCAAAGCCAUAUGUGCAUUUCCCAUAGCUCAGUGCCAGGGUCUAGAAAAAAUGAUUAAGCCCUGGGGUUACUGAGUCUUGUGUUCAGGAUCUUCCCGGUCAAAAACCAUGCCUGUACUCUGGUGACAACCCACCUGAAAAGGGGUGUGGCACAACAUUGUGCCCUCUGGACUAUGCCACUAAGGAGUGACAGCAGCAAUCAGAGACCUGAUUUAUCAGUUUUACAGACCUUGGGAAGCACUGGAGUUACACAAACCAGGCAUAGUCUUAGGCAGUCAAGCCCAGAUUCUGUGUGAAAGAAGCUGUGUCAUACAUGUCCCCUCUGGAGACCUCUCAGGUUCCAGCAGACACUUAAGCCCCCCUUUAGGAUAUUCUCAUCCUGCACUGACAGGAGGAAGUAGAUAAGAGCACGGCUUAAAUAUUGCACAAUGCUUUACUGAGCUACACACCAUGCAUUUGAGGUUCUUGCAGCACUACAAAUACUAAUUUAAUUAUGUUCAGAGUCCUUCUGGAACUUAACAAUAUCUCCAAUUUGUAAGUUGUUUGGAGCAGUGGACCACAGAGAUAUUGUAAAAAUUAUCCCUAGGAAAAUGUCACUGGAAUCAAUGAAAUGAAACUCCACUUUCAUCAUCUGACAUUGCUUUUGGCACUGGACUUCAAAUAAGAUUACUGUACUACUGUUAAUCAGUAAAUAAGUUGGAAUAGAAGGAAUAGAAGAAAAUGGUCUGGAUCUUCUCACACUUUUCUGUGAGUCAGCAGUAUGUAAGAGCUCAUAGUGGGACCAGUGACCUGUCUCCUGUAUUUGACAUCUUAAAAGUAGGUCUAACUCUUCCUGUUCUCACCUGUAGUAGUGCCUAAGCAGAGAGGAGAUAUUGAUAGAUCUCCUUCUAUGCUUCUACUUUAAACACGUAUGAGAAAUGAACAGUAAAUGUAGGCCAAGAAUAAUUUCACAUAAAGUUUUCUUUAAGGUCCCUUGCAUCCAAGAUAUAGAGGUGCUCGGAAGAAUUCAGAUUCAUAAGAUGGGUCCAUGUCUUACCCACUGCUUGUAGUGAAUUCAUAUACAGGCUGUCACAACAGUCCUGUCAGAAACCUUGUAGAAGAUCUGUGGGGCAGAUAUUUACACUGGUGCCACUGAAGUAAAGAUGGGUGGAGACAAUGGCCAGGGCAAGCCAGGGGAUGCGUAAGGGCAGUCUCGGGGUCAGUCAAGUCCCAGUGGGCCUGAUGAUCCACAACAUAAAUCAAUAAACUGAGCUUCUAUGAAGAUCAGAUCCAGACUCGACACCCUCAUUCUCUGCCUUCCAGCAGUUAGGCUGAUAUCCUGUCCUAGUGAAACUGAGGCUGGUGUUAACAGGGUCAGGAAAUCCUAUGGAGGAAAAAGCAGAGCCAGUAGGGCUGUUCCUGCUCCUGGCUGGCUAAGGAGAGGCCAUGCCAGUGAGACCUGUUGGAUCCAUCAGAACCAGAAGCUGAUAAAAAGCCUGCUACCCCAGUGAGAAGAGAGAGUCUAUACUGAUAGGCAGAAGCCUUGGCAAUGGAUUGCUGCACUUUGGGGAUACAAUAUCAUGGUGCACACAGAGUUCAACUCUGCAGCAGGGUUGUGGGAUUGGCAUAUUUGGAACUAAAGCUGAAGAGGCUAUGGAAGAGGAUAUCUUUGGCAGAGCUGUUUUCAAGCCAGUUUGUCAAACUGUGUAGACCUACAACUCUGGUUUUUUUGGUUUUGCUAAGAGCAGAUCUCAUGAUUUGAAAGACUGUAUGGUGCUCCUCAGUGAAUGGGGAAGCUGUUGGCUAAAGGUGAUGCUUGGGGCUAGGCUCUCUUUCAAGACUGGAAAAACAAAAGACAAAGGUCUGACCAGUAGGUUAAUGGAACAGUAAGAAAGGCAGUGCUUACUGUACUGGCCUUGCUAGAUCCCAAUCAAAAAUCCUUUUUCUGCUUUCUUCAGCUCACCAUGUACUUUCAGCUGAGAUACACACCUUUGUCCCUCCUAAAGUUUAAUUGCUGUGUGUGACACUGAAGGCACAGGUGGCAGCCACAGGGUUUCACCUGGCUAUAGCUGCAGUUCAGGAGAAGAAACACCAUUUCUUUGUGCAGGUGCUCGGUAUAAAGCAGUGGUGGUGUCACAAAGGGCAAGUCCUGCCUGAGUGACCUAGUGGUUUUCUGUGAUGGAGUGACUACUCCAGUGAGCAGGGGAAGGGCUAUAGAUGUCACCAUGUGGACUUCUGCAAGACCUUUAACAUGGUCCCAAAUGACAUCUUUCUCUCUAAACUGGAGAGAUUGAUUUGAUGGGAGGACUCUUUGGUGGGUGAGGAGUUGGUUAGACAGUUACCUCCAGAGUGUAGCAGUCAACAGCUUGAAACCCCUGUAGACACUGAUGGCAAGUGGUGACUUUUAGGAGUCUAUAUGGGGACCAGUGCUAUUUAAUGUCUUCCUCAGUGACAGAGACAGAGGGAUCAAGUGCACCAUCAGCAUAUUUGUAGACAACACCAAGCUGAGUGCUGUUGACAGGCCUGAAGGAUGGGAUGCCCUGUGUUGCCAUGGAGGGAAUGGGGUAGGAGCAGGACAUAAGCUUCUGCUUCCUAUGGAGGUCAUUCUGGAGACCUUGCAUAAGCCUGGACUCUGGGGAAUCUCAGCAGCUGUCUGCCCAAGAUCUCAGGGGAGCAAGUCUGAGCAGGAAAUUAGCCUCUGUGCCCUGAGUGAAGCUAGGAAUAUAUUAAAAAAAAAAAAAAAAAGGGGGGGGGGGAAAUAGACUGGGAGAGAAAAUGUAGGGAGGGAGAGAUAUUGAUAAUUCUGGGUUUCAUUACCUGCUCAUGGUCAUCAGACUCUGAUUUCAGAGUCGGAAUAUGCUGCUUCAAAAUAGUCCACAUAGCAGCAACCAUCCUUGCCCAAACUGCCCGAAACCCAACCAAGAAAACCACAUAGUUUGAGCUUAAAAAGUAAAAUUUCUAUUUAGUCCAGUGACAUGCAAGCUUGCAUUUCUAUCUAAGCGCAACUGCAUCAAAAAUAAUCUGUUCUUUGAAUGGCCUUUUCUAAUCAAAUCAUAGUUCAAGGGAAAUUUUCCACUGGGUCCUUUUGCUGAAUUUCUUCAGUGUGGGCUAUUUUGGUAGUAGAUUUACAUUGUCAGCUUGGAUACUUUCCUGCUUCUUUUCUAGGCUUUGAUCCCUCGAUUUGAAUGCCUGCUGAGUGGUUCCUUCUGGAGUGACACAAGUAAUUCCCUCCAAAAAGGAGACUAGACACAACUGACAGUACAGUAUGCACUAGGAUCCAACCUCAAGCAAGAGCAUAGAUGUUGAUUGUGCCAAACCCUCAAGACCCUCAACACAGUCCCCACAGACCUCGUGGCCUGAAGUGCCUUCAUACACUUAGGCCACACCCCAGGGUAUGCACACACGCUUGUCAUGAACUAUAAAAGCACCACCUUCUCAAGUUCCAACCCAGUCCUGUCUCGGAGACUCUGGGUGUUUUAAAUUUAAAGAUGAGUGAGUGCAGCCUGUGACCCACAGCCACCAAAGUGCUCCAUAGAGCCCAGACCAGACCCAAGGCAAGUGUUUUCCCCUGUGAGCUUCUCUGCUCCAGAAACAUGAACAUCAUCCUGAACAUCAUCCUCUUUGUGUCCCCUUCAGGGACAAGGCUCUACUUUCUUUCACCUGGCCUGCAAAGGCAACAUAAACAGUAGUGAUGUUUUUUAUUUUCUGUUUAACUGCUGGAGCUGUUGGAGCUUCAGGGUGGCAGAGGACACUGUGGUUGACCACCAGGUUAAGAGAAACAGGGUGACUGACAGAAGGGAGGGUCACAAAACAGGUGAAGUGACUAUGGAUUUAUUGAGAAGGCUCACUAGAAAUAUCUAAAUGGUUUUAGCUUAAUUGUCUUCUAUCUCUCUUUGCAGCCACUGUAAUGAAUGAAUAACAUCCAUCCCUCUGCCUGACUGUCAUCUUAUUUUAAUCUAGGCACCAUAAAAUAGAGGGGAAUUUUCCUACUUAUUGGAGGAUCUUGUAGAGGAAAGGGUGGAAACCCCAUUGUUAGAGGAUUUGAAACUGGAGAGCUGAAACCAUGCUAGUUACACCCUGGGGAGCAAUCCUGCAUAGGCCUUCAGAGGGAUGAAUUAACCUUUUCUUUCUCAAGGAGGUUUUACCCACCAUCACCACAGCCAUCCUGGGAGAGCAAAGGAACUCUGUUUGUUUCCUCACCUUGAAGACAGGUUGUGCUGGCAGGUGCCAUCCUCUAGCCAGGUGUCUUCACACCAUUUAACUGGGUUUAAAAAAGCUGUUCUGUGUGCUAAAUCGCUUCCUCACUUCCCAAAGUGUGAAAGCCUUUUCUCUCUUUCACGUGUCCAUGCUUCGCUCCUUCUGGGGAGACAGCUGGUCUUUUUUUUUAAUACAUUCUGCUCCUUAAAUGCUGUCUCUGAGACAAAUCAGGUCAUGUGGAGCCAAGCCCAUGAAAAAGGCUGAGGUGACUCAAUCCUGGGAAAUCACUAGGAGCUGGAUGCCUAAAUUUCUUUGUGAGUCCCAGUGGCCUUGAGUAACAUCAGUAAGAACAUACAUUGUGUUCUAGUCAGGAACAGAGCAUAGGCUGAGAUGCCUCUUAACCUAACAAAUAGCACAGGUAUUUGGGUGAUUCAGCACUAGUUUCACCUAAAUAACUGAAGGAAAGGUUUCCACACGUACUUUAGCACAGGUGUAAUGAGAAAAUAAUGACUCUGGGCCCUUAUUCCUUUGUGUGGAGAACACAGUUGUUUGUUUAGGGUUUUUUUUUUACCCAGUAAUAAUCAGAUACCAUAUUUCCCUUGGGUGAAAUGGCUGAAGUGUGUUAUUGAUAACUGUCAAUGGUCCUAUGGAUGUCCAAGCUCUGGCCAGUAUUGAAGCCCUGUCUGGUGAAAGGUGUGUAAGUCCUAAAUCUGGGCUCCCAGCACACUGUUUUCAAAAUACUGGGAGAUGGCCACAUGUACCAAAGGGCUCUGGGAUUUGGUGUCAUGUUGAAGAGGAGCUCCUAACUAAGGACAGAAAGGAGCAAGACACCAGGGUGAUGGCUGAGUAUAUAGCAGCCUGAUGCUAGGAUAAAUGUUAAGGAGGUUGAUACAUGCUAUAUAUUGGAGGGCAGAGAAACACCAGGAAAAGGAGAGCUAGAGAGAGAAGCAGAAGAAGCUGUGUAAUAUUCAAAUAUAUUUCAGUGAAACAGUAACUUCUUUCCUGGUCUCUUCACCCCAGCAUUCAGAAUACAAAACAAUGUGAUAAUUUUUACCAAGGAAGGGCAAUGAGGUACACCAUGAGAGACAAGUGAGACAAGUGGACUAACAGCAAACAAGGACCAAAGCAUUCAGUCGUCUCCUUUCUUUGCCUAUAUGUGGCUGCAAACACGUGGAACAUCUAGAAAACACCUAGGUUCUCAAUUUCUCCUUUCUUGAAGUACCAGGACAGGAGAUAUUUUAAAGGGUCUGGAGAUUAUAGUAAUACUUCCUUAAUUCUUUUCCAUAAUUCAACACCCCCCCGCCCCCGCCUCCAACAAGCUGUGAGUUUGGAGAUGGAAUGUGUAAAAGCAGCCAGAGAUUAGAAAUCUUCUUGUCAUGGCUCCAGGAAAUUUCUACAUUCCUGGUACCUGAGAAUUAACCUCUGCCCUAUUUGUGAUUUAACAUUAAUUUAUCUCCUACUCUCUCACCUACAUGAUAGAAAGGAAAUUUUCACUUACAGGAACAGUCUGCAUGGGAAGAGAUGUCCUAGAAACCUGGAGGUGUGGCAGACAAGCAGAUGGGGAUGGUGAGAGGAUCAUCCCUCCAGGACUGGAAAGAUGCUGUGGGCUGUGUAGAUAGAGACAUAAAUGUGUGUUUCAUAAAGGCAGAGCUUUGCACACUGGCUUCAUUGGGUAUGUGAGGAUAGUCUAAAUAAAAAAAUGGACAUGUUUGACUAUGUCCUUUUAUGGAUCUGUUUAGCUCUUCAUCCACUCCCUCAGUGAUACCAUUUUGCCAUUACGGGAUCUAUGAUUUAAUUAAACCUAAAUGAAACAGAGGACAUUUGCUCUGUGUAAAAUGGCAAUACAUUGCAUAUACCCAAACAAUAUCAUGAAUAUCUCAGUAUUAAGUAUUGGUGUGAGUUUACACAUAAAUGUGUAAAUAAAGGGGAGGGAGGUGAUGGAAUACUAAUAUCUGAAACUUAUCCCUGCCAGACCUGAUUCCUGACAGAGAACUCUAGAUUCCAUGCAGACACUAGUAACAAGAGUCACUUUAUUCUAGCCACAAUACUACAGCCAAGAUGUAAUGAAUGCUUGGAGAUAGAUAAGACAGACAGAUUUCUUGUUUUCCACUGAGAUGGUUUUGAAUGUAUCCUGGCAGGGCUUACUCACCCUUUGAGCUCUCCAAAGAAGACAAAUUGCUUUCCAGGAGCUUCUGCUGUGUACAGGUUAUUUUUGAGCACUUCCUUAAUUAAGGUUUAUCUGCUGUGCACAUAAUUCACAGAUUAAAAGCCCUUGGGGCUUUUUUUUUUGUGUGAACAGAAGUUUCCCCCUGAACAACCUGUUUCUCACCCAACCCAUUGUUAUACAACAUGACACACAUUCUUUAUGGAUACCGUGUCCUACCCCAGAAGUAGCUGCAGGCCAGUAGCC